AGGAAUUGGUUCACAGGACGGUACCACCGCUUAAGAUCACCUCUCUUCCACACUGAGGAUCAGGUUGAGCAGUGGCUGAUGGAGAUGAAGUGAAGAGCGGAGCUUUUGUCAUAGGUUAAAUGAAUGAACUCUUGGAUACAUGUCUUCAUACAUGUAAUCAGAUUAUGUUAUUCCGCUGCGUACUCUUAGGUUUUAUGUUCUUUCAGUUAAGCCAGUUUUAUCUGAACCUACAAGUCUGUUCGAGUCUUGUGACUAAACAUCAGGUGUAUUAUAAAUUUUCCCUUCUUUAAACAAAUUUUAGUUCGAUCC
Molecule: long non-coding RNA, 309 nt
Organism: Salvia miltiorrhiza (redroot sage)
Lineage: Eukaryota; Viridiplantae; Streptophyta; Magnoliopsida; Lamiales; Lamiaceae
Exons: 2
Source: RefSeq, a predicted model, not a curated record